This 86-nucleotide transfer RNA is filed under the name Candidatus Chloroheliaceae bacterium. Its description in RNAcentral is "tRNA-Ser". It matches the Rfam family "tRNA". From Rfam's summary of the family: Transfer RNA (tRNA) molecules are approximately 80 nucleotides in length. Lineage: Bacteria; Bacillati; Chloroflexota; Chloroflexia; Candidatus Chloroheliales; Candidatus Chloroheliaceae. The record is from RNAcentral.
GGGGAGGUGGCCGAGUGGACGAUGGCGACUGUCUUGAAAACUGUAGAGCGAAAGCUCCGGGGGUUCGAAUCCCUCCCUCUCCGCCA